Molecule: unclassified non-coding RNA, 4283 nt
Filed under: Helicoverpa zea (corn earworm)
Lineage: Eukaryota; Metazoa; Arthropoda; Insecta; Lepidoptera; Noctuidae
Description: heat shock factor protein, transcript variant X3
Source: RNAcentral
UAGUGUAUGUUAAUAAUUAAAAUGGCGAUUUGAGAAUCAUAUUCUUGAGUGUUAUUAUAUUAUUUGCGUAAAAUAUUGAUAGAAGACUUCAAAUAGUCGUUUUUAUACAGCAGUGUUGAAUAUUUAGUUGAGUUUACCAUGCGUUCAGUAGUAGAAAUUGGGGCCAGUGUGCCUGCGUUUCUAGGAAAAUUAUGGAAACUGGUCAACGAUACAGAGACCAAUCAUCUGAUUUCCUGGAGCCCUGGCGGGAAAACAUUUGUCAUAAAAAACCAGGCAGACUUUGCAAGGGAACUCUUACCUUUAUAUUACAAACAUAACAAUAUGGCAAGCUUCAUUAGGCAGUUGAAUAUGUAUGGAUUUCAUAAGAUUACUUCUGUGGAAAAUGGUGGCUUACGAUAUGAAAAGGAUGAAAUAGAAUUCUCACACCCUUGCUUCAUGAAAGGACAUGCAUAUCUUUUAGAACACAUUAAAAGAAAGAUUGCCAACCCAAAGUCAAUAGUAACUAGCAAUGAAAGCGGAGAGAAAGUACUUCUGAAACCAGAGCUGAUGAACAAAGUGCUGUCUGACGUGAAACAAAUGAAAGGCAAGCAGGAGAGUCUGGAUGCCAAGUUCAGUGCCAUGAAACAGGAAAAUGAAGCUUUGUGGAGAGAAGUUGCUAUUCUGAGACAGAAGCACAUAAAACAACAGCAAAUUGUUAACAAUCUUAUUCAAUUCCUUAUGUCACUGGUUCAACCGACUAGGCCACCCAAUGCAACUGGAAACAAUGUGGGAGUAAAGAGACCAUACCAAUUGAUGAUCAACAGUGCAGCACACAAUUCUGGUACAGACGGAUCUUACCCUGGCAGAUCAAAGAACAUGAAAUUAGACAGAGAUAAUUUAUUGGAUGAGUUAAAUGAGGAUAAUUUGGAGGAUGGACCUACCAUUCAUGAGCUGGCACAUGAUGAUAUCAUGCACAAUGAAAACACUCAGGACUCCAUGCCUGGAAACGAUUUCAUUACAGUGGAUAUACCUAACAUGACAAAUGCUACCACUAGCCAUAGCCCAAAUGACCCCUCUGCCUCCAUAUACCAUGUCACAAUGGAAGAUGGGGAUGAUGCUGAAACAGGUGCAAACCGAUUGGUAUAUCCAGUAGCACGUACCAAUGGUAUGAAUAGGACACCAGAAAGCAUGCCGAUCAUUACAUCAGCAUCUCCAACACCACUCGCAACUUCUUCAAUGGACCAGAAUGGAUUAGAUCAGGUUGUAAACAAUGUGAUGGGCUCACCGUCACCAAUCGUUGUAAAAGUUGAGGGACACGUGCCAACUAAGACGAAAGGUCGUACCAAUCCCGCAAACAAGAGUACUGUUACAUCUGCAGGCAAAAGUCUAUCAUCAGGAAACUACAACACACUAAACCCAUCAGCUGACUUGAAACUGCCAGCAGAAAUCUUUGCCAGUGAUGAUUCAGUCAGCGAUGCUGGAGUAGCGGCUGCUGAUGACCUUACCAUGCAAAAUGCACUACAAGAUUUAGUUGAUGAGUCCCUACUAUCAACAUCAAAAGAUAAAAUGCUUGGUGGUAUCAAUAUUAAAGUAGAAAGGCUAGGAGAACCAUUAAAAGCUAAUAGGAAAUCUAAGAAAGGUAACAAAAGUACUGAAAACACCUUGAAUUUGGCUGAUAUUAAAACGGAAUUCCAGGAUGACUUUGAUUGGAACAAUAUGACUCUAGCAACUGUCAACAACAAUACUAAUAGGUUCCAGACAAGGAAUGAUAUUGAUGACCAUUUGGAUGCGAUGCAAACAGACCUUGAAUCGCUAAGAGACCUGCUACGAAGUGACAGCUACGCAUUUGACACCAAUACGUUGUUGGGGCUAUUUGGGUCUGAUGACCCCUUCUACGGCCUGCCCUAUAACUCGAUGGAAGACAGGGCAAAAUCUGCUAAUAAUGAUACAACCAAACAGUAUCCGAUGAUUGAUUUUGAUUGGCUGAUCGGUAACAGCGAGGCCUCCUCUACAAAGUAGCCUGUUGCUACAUCAACUUGCAAGUUUUCAACGCUGACCGCGUCUCAGCCACGUGACGUGGUGGAUAUUUUUGGUAAAGGGUUAAUAUAGCCGUGGUGUUCUGGUCAGUGCUACGGACGAUAGGUAGACUGUCGCGACAAAAGUGACUCGAUUAGGGGUUCGCUCUCGAUUGACUCAAUUCGUCUCAAAAACGCAAUUUGUGCAGAACAGUGUAAAUUUCAUAUCAAUUUAUAUCAAAAAUUUUAUAUUAUAUGUAUGUAAAUAUUGUUAUCACAACUUUAAGAAGAUAGUAGUUGGGGAGAGUUAAGGCUCAACAGUUUACUGUGAGUUAUUGGGAAUAGACUAACGCACAAUGCCACAAAGUGGAUUAAUAUUUAAGAUUAUCAUUUUUGCCGCGACAUACAGACAAUUCCUUCUGUGAGCAUUAAGUGUAUGCCUAAGUUAUCUUGUUAAAAUAAGACAGUUUAAAUCUAUAAAUGUUAUAUUGUUAACCGUAAUUAUAUUUUAUUGUUAAUUAAAGCAAAGAAGCAGAAAGGUGAGAUUUCGAAUGUAAGCAGUGACGACACUCGCGUCCAGAACCUGUUUACUGAGGAUAAUGGUAGUAAUUCAGCUCUCGCAUUCUUAUUGCAAAUGUAGAAUUAUAAAAAUAUAAUUUUGCACGAUUUAACUGUAGACAUUGAUUUACACUCUGAAAUUUUUUAAACUGGAACCGAUGAUCCAAACUUUAGUGUCCUGCUUAUGUUUAAGUACAUGUUAGUGCUUAUUUUUUUUCAGAGGCAAUUAUGUUUUAAGUUAUACUUCAUCAUCGGUUUCUGAAAUUUACGUUAGUAUUAUAUUGUUUAUGUUAUCUGAGAAAGCGUACUGCAUUAUAUUUACUUCAAUUAUUUUUAAAUGCUACGCGCUGAUAGUACCAUUACUCUGCAGCUGCAUUUCAUAGCGUUUAACUUUAUGUUCAUUUUGUUUAUAAACUUUGGGCGUGGGUUGUAUGUAUAUCGUACGUAGUGAUCUAGCAUAAGUUCGAUGUUAUGUUAUAGGUAUGAUAUUGCUCUCAAACAUAUACCUAUUUAGUAUUAAGGAUUGACAAAUAUAUUUUUAUGUACUAUUUAGUUAUUGAUUGCUUUUAAAGUAUUCGCAUGGUUGAUUAUGACAUUGUUAUACCUAUAAAAAGUUUACCAUUAUUGUUAUAUGCUAUAGAUAACGUAGAUCCUCUAGUAUUUUUAGGAGACCUAUCUAUAAUUCAAUGUUAGUAUGUAGUUAACUGCAGUCGGUUUAUAAGUUCAUAUUUAAAAAAUAUUAAUAAUAUUUUUUUGGGCAACUUUCAGUUGAAGGGAAUCAGCUAAUCUCGUAUACAGGGAAUAUUCCAGACUUUGAGGAUAUAAACAUGCCAGAUCUGGAGUGCGAUAAUUCUCAGGAGCCUUGCGUGUUACCCAGCCCCAGCAGCUCGACGCUAAACACGCCGCAGAUGCAGAUACGAUCGCCCUCCUUUACUUUGAAACCAUGAGGAAAGCCUAAAAAACGGCGACACAAGAAGAAACGUUCGUCCAAACAGUGAAAUUCUUAAUAUUUCACUUUAGUUAAACUUGUGUGUGACUGACUUUUAUAACUGAUUAGUGUAGUCUAUACAUGUAGCCGAGAAAGAAAAACAAAAAUAAAAUAUACAAUUAGAUUUAGGGGCCGUCAUCACAAGUUUUUAUUGGUUUGCUAUUUAGACGAACUGAUUCAGUGAAAAUAUUUUUACUAUGUAAACUUUUCAAGAAAGACCAUAAAUAAGUUUAUAGUUAUCUGCUUGGACACUGUUUUCCAUAAACAGAGCAUGAUUUAUAAUCUUGUUUCUCUAAAUAGAUUAACGUUUGCUUUGAUCAAUAACUUACAAAAUUUAACCAAAAAAGAUAGGUAUAAGUUGUUACAAGGAAUAUUGUAUUGAUUUGUAAAAUAAUGCAGCAAGAAAAGCUUUAUCUAACAUAUAUUAAUACUUUGCAUCAAAAAUAUUGAUUCGCACAUUCAACCUCAAAAUUUACUGUACGAAAUCUACAAAAUAGUCUGAUGAUGGGUAUUUAUUAACUUUAAAUUAUAAUAUUCUAGUUGCCUGAAUAUAAUCUCGUAUAUUGAACAAAAACUUGAUCCAAAUAUAAGUUUUUAUAUAAUAUGGAUUUUGUAAAAUAUUAGGAUAGUAAUAUGUAUUUAUAUCUCAUGACUGAGGUUCAUUGCACAGUUCGAAUAUAAGUGCUUCUAAACAUAAUAAUUACAAGUGUAAAUGGAACUUAUCCCCACAAAAAUUAGUAAUA